RNAcentral lists this ribosomal RNA (478 nucleotides) under uncultured bacterium. Its description in RNAcentral is "partial 16S ribosomal RNA". It matches the Rfam family "Bacterial small subunit ribosomal RNA", at positions 28 to 523 of the family's 1533-position model. The record is from RNAcentral.
GACGAACGCCGGCGGCGUGCUUAACACAUGCAAGUCGAACGGUAAGGCCCUUCGGGGUACACGAGUGGCGAACGGGUGAGUAACACGUGGGUGAUCUGCCCUGCACUUCGGGAUAAGCCUGGGAAACUGGGUCUAAUACCGGAUAGGACCACUGCCUGCAUGGGUGGUGGGGGAAAGCGUUUGCGGUGUGGGAUGGGCCCGCGGCCCAUCAGCUUGGUGGUGGGGUUAUGGCCUAGCAAGGCGACGACGGGGAGCCGGCCUGAGAGGGUGACCGGCAACACUGGGACUGAGAUACGGCCCAGACUCCUACGGGAGGCAGCAGUGGGGAAUAUUGCACAAUGGGCGCAAGCCUGAUGCAGCGACGCCGCGUGAGGGAUGACGGCCUUCGGGUUGUAAACCUCUUUCAGCACCGACGAAGCGCAAGUGACGGUGGGUGCAGAAGAAGGACCGACCAACUACGUGCCAGCAGCCGCAGUAA